ACGGACUUAAAUCCGUUGGCUUUAUUGACCGUGAGGGUUCAAGUCCCUCUACCCCCAA
RNAcentral lists this transfer RNA (58 nucleotides) under Homalia lusitanica. RNAcentral describes it as "partial tRNA-Leu". The record is from RNAcentral. Lineage: Eukaryota; Viridiplantae; Streptophyta; Bryopsida; Hypnales; Neckeraceae.